Molecule: long non-coding RNA, 1647 nt
Organism: Lepisosteus oculatus (spotted gar)
Lineage: Eukaryota; Metazoa; Chordata; Actinopteri; Semionotiformes; Lepisosteidae
Source: RefSeq, a predicted model, not a curated record
CAGCGCCGAUUCUGUCAGGUCCCCGUCGCCAUGACAACAGUCUGUGCAUCAGAGUUUGCCAGAUUCGUUGUUUUCAGAGGUGUAAAUUACCUGUUCGAUUGCCUCUGCUGGGCCUGAUGAACCUUCCACGAUCUAACAGGCUUAACCCCUGAUUCUGGCAAGUGCAGGUUUCUUGGUUUAUGUCAGAAAUAACCCCCCUUCUGAUAAUGAGGAAAGGGUAGAUUGUAGAUCUGUUGUUGUCAGGCUCAUUAGGAAUCAUCAGUCUCUUUCUUUGCCCAGAUAAAAUCAAAAUGUUGGCCCAACAAUUUCACAAAUUAUCACAAAUUCCAUGCAGUGGUAACCGUCUGUAAGGGGUAGAGAGGAAGCUCAUUGCAAACAGAAAUUGUGAGGGUGAGUCAAGGUUCUGAUCUUAAUCUGAGUUUUAUUUUAACUCUGGAAUUGUCUGCACACCAAAACCCGGCAAGACCAUAAUAAACAGCUAGUAUUAUUUAUUACAGAUUGCAAUUUAUACCGAAUGCUCAAUCAUAACUAGUUAAAGAGAUUUUCUCACAGAGCAUGAUGUGGAAAAAAAUAGAAGGGCGUGUUAUAAAAUACAGAAGUGUCAAACCACAUUGAAAAUCACUUCUUAAUCUGGUGUCAUUUCUUUCUUUCCAUUAUGUGUUUCGCACAGGUGCAGAUUAUGAUAUUACAUAUCAAAUACACUGUAUCUAAAUCUACUCUCUUAAGAGCAGAUAUCCCCCACUGCAGUAGUUUUCUCUAGGUUUUGUUUCUUCAGAACCAAAGAAAAAACAUUGCUUUGAAACAUAUUUACUGUAGCCCCUAUUAUCUCUAUAUCGGCAAACAUGUUUAUUUUGGUUUCUCCAAAAAAGUCUCCUUGCCCGGUUUUGUCAUCACAGCCAGCAUACCACCCACUGCAAAAAUUAUUUCAGAAUCAUUAACAUUAAGCCCUCGGUUUCAUUCUAGGAAAGGGGUUGCAGAUGGAUGAUUUUGAAAAGGCUGUUUUUCAGGUGCUCCACCAAACAUAAAUGAGGACAGCUCACCCAGUCAGGCUGCACCGAACUUCAGCUUGGCACUGGGACGGCCCGGGUGCCAAAUCGGCCGUCGGGGACUUUGAAUGAGGAACCUGGAGGAGGCCAGGUUUCCGGCGGUUGGUACUGGCGUACGGCCUCCGCCUUCCUUUCCAAGACCAGAGUGGUGUGAACGGGAGAACCGGAGAAGGAGGGCCUGCGAUUUCCGAAGUCUUGGAAAUGCAACAGAAACUUGCCUCCGGAGUUCCAAAGAUCUGCAGAACCACCGCACGACAGCGAUGUCAGAGAGGGUCCGCGGCUCUCCUCCAAUCAGCACUAACUCUCCUGUGAGGCAUGGUGGAGCUGGCAGCGUGGCAAAUUAGGAGUAGCAACGUCUUCUCCUAAGCAAGACCAACACAAUAAAUGAUCCUAUGUGAGAACAAACAGGAGCUGUGGUAGCUCAGACAGCAAGGGUGUGUAGCUCCUGACCGGGAGGUCCCGGGUUCAAACCAGUCGCUCUUCGUGGCCCAUGCCGUGUGCAGAUUGCUGAAAUUCUGGAUUUGCAGCCGACAAGUAAGAUGCUUAAGCCUUCACCGUUUGCGAGCCUGUCUAUCCACUCUUCCAGGGGUUGGGAUUAGGG